This 504-nucleotide ribosomal RNA is filed under the name uncultured bacterium. Its description in RNAcentral is "bacterial SSU rRNA". It matches the Rfam family "Bacterial small subunit ribosomal RNA", at positions 16 to 507 of the family's 1533-position model. The record is from RNAcentral.
AUCAUGGCUCAGGAUGAACGCUAGCUACAGGCUUAACACAUGCAAGUCGAGGGGAAACGACAUCGAAAGCUUGCUUCCGAUAGGCGUCGACCGGCGCACGGGUGAGUAACGCGUAUCCAACCUGCCCACCACUUGGGGAUAACCUUGCGAAAGUAAGACUAAUACCCAAUGACGUCUCUAGAAGGCAUCUGAAAGGGAUUAAAGAUUCAUCGGUGAUGGAUGGGGAUGCGUCUGAUUAGCUUGUUGGCGGGGUAACGGCCCACCAAGGCAACGAUCAGUAGGGGUUCUGAGAGGAAGGUCCCCCACAUUGGAACUGAGACACGGUCCAAACUCCUACGGGAGGCAGCAGUGAGGAAUAUUGGUCAAUGGGCGAGAGCCUGAACCAGCCAAGUAGCGUGCAGGAUGACGGCCCUAUGGGUUGUAAACUGCUUUUAUAAGGGAAUAAAGUGAGCCUCGUGAGGCUUUUUGCAUGUACCUUAUGAAUAAGGACCGGCUAAUUCCGUG